AUUUAGAAUCAAGCAUGCUGCAAUUGAAAUCCUUCGUUGUAGAGUAAGCCAAGCGAGGCAACAAACCUGCCAGCCAUGAUUUUUUGUAACUCCAUUGAGUGGCAUUUUCGGUGUCCCAGUUCCAAUAAAACCAGCCCCAUGUUUUGUCAAAUGUUUCAAUUUGUGAAGUAGCUAAAGCAUAUAGAAACUUUCGAUAAGAAUCCUCGUAAUUUUCGGGGUCCUGAUUUGCGAAGUCGCAACGACAACCAACUUUUUCAGAACAACUGGCAACACCUCCAUUAGGAGUAAAAGUGCCGUCCCAUCGAGCACCCUCUCCAACAUUAUUUAAAAACUUAGCACAAUCUGUAUCCGCAAGGCUCCACUCUCCUAUAAUCGUCGGUAAUUUGGCCUUUAACUUCAUUUCUUCGUUCCAUGACUUACAUAUCACAUUAAGUUUAUCUUUUGGCCUCAAACCAAUUAAGAAAUCAUUAAAAAUGAUAUACCUAUGUACAUCGAUAAGUAUGUUUGGGAAGUGAAAUGGAUCAAAAUGAUCUUCCCAAUUACCUGGACCACGAAAUCCAUCACUAAGUGAUAUUAGACCUGUAAAAUUAGAUUGGCGAAUUACCGCAUAGGCUUGCUUAUGCCAAUCAGUAAUUUUGUGCUCAUCAAGAACGAAGAAAUUUGGUUCGUUAAGUGCACCGUAUAUUGUAACGACAUUUCUAUACCGUUUCUGAGAGAAAAAAGAAGCAAGUCUUUCAUGAAUUUUUAGUGUGAAUUGAGAAUUUUCCUCGCCUUUCACUGUGCCAUCCAACCACUCCAUUUGAUUCAAAUAUCCACCGUGAUUCCAAGAGUUUUGGUUACCAGGUGCGGCGUGUAAAUCAAGAUUAACUCUUAAUCCUUGCUCACGAGCCCAUUCGAUAGAUCUAAGUAGAUAUCUCCACCCAAUACCCGAGACAUUAGUUAUUUCAUUACUGUAAAGAAUCCAAUAUGGAAAGGUAAUCCGAACAUGAUCCAAACCUGCUUCCCUAAUUUCGUAAAAUGUUUGUUUCGUGACAAAUGUAUUGUAAUGGUUCUCAAUAACGCUGGUGGCAUUUUCCCCCAAAUAUGCGUGUAGACUCAAUUCAUCUUUUACUAAGUAUGCAGUUUCAUUUUUCACUUGGAAAAAAGAUGGAGUAAUAAAUGGUUCCAUUGAAAGCCAUCCACCUAGAUUUACACCUCUAAUGGGAAGUCGACCGUACGGAAAAGGCUCGUUCAAAGGAGGGACAUUAGGAUUUGCCUGAACGGAAUCAUCAUAUUUAUCAAAUAUUCCCAUUGUAUAUAAUCCAGCGAACGUUUCGUUCGUAAAACUUGUAUUGAAAUCAGAUGUAUCAAGCCAAGUAUUGGUGUCCAAAAGCGAGUUUUUAGCCCAUUCAGGUACUUGAGUGGAAUUAAAUAUCUCAUCAAUUAUAUUUACGCCUAAAUUAGUGGUUUCCAUAUUUGUGUCUUUAAUUUUUCGAUCUGACUGAGCGUGAGGAAUAAUAACUAAAAAUAUAAGAGGAAGAAUAAUUGACAGGAAAACACAUAGGGAAACAAAAAAUGUAAGGAGGAUAGUAAUAAGAAGAGCCUUCUUGUCAAUUUCUCUACACCUUUUAGAUGUAAAGUCAUCAACACCGAGUGAUUUAGAGUCACAAGAUGACUCAGCUUCUAAAAGAUUGCUCAUAUUUUAUCAAUAAAAAGAAAGAAAGAUAUUUUGAUCCAAUUAUUAAAAGAAG
Molecule: long non-coding RNA, 1730 nt
Filed under: Schizosaccharomyces pombe (fission yeast)
Lineage: Eukaryota; Fungi; Ascomycota; Schizosaccharomycetes; Schizosaccharomycetales; Schizosaccharomycetaceae
Source: RNAcentral